CAGUGAGUGGAGAUGGCGCCAUCGCACUCCAGCCUGGGCGAUAGAGCGAGACACUGUCUCAAAAAAAAAAAAAAAAAAAAAGCUGGACAUGAUACACAAGGUGACCCCAGGAGACUCCUGUGCAGAGUAGAAACACACCCCAGCACUAAACUCAGUCCCUGAAGUCCCUGUGGGAUUCUCCCCACCCCCCACCCCUGGGUCCACCUGUACCCACCUGGAAAGAACAGUGACACCGCCCCACAGCAGGAGCACCAUCAGCGGCCGCGGCACCCCAGGUAGCUGGGCCACCCCCAGGGUUUCACAGGUGGAGAGGGAGCCUGGGAACGUGCAUUUCUAGCAAUUUCCAGGUGAUGGGGCACCACACUUUUAAAAAUACACAAUACUAGGUCUUGAAAGGACUUCUAUUCACUUGCACGUUGGUGGGAUGGAGCCCUACAUUGCAAAGAGCUUUUCUUCACGUGUCCUCCUUGAGCUCAGGGGCUGGCAGCACUUGGUGGGACCUAGUAGGGCGUCCCUUGCUGACUGCACACCCACAGCUAGAGCCCAGGCCCGGAUUAUUCUCACAGGAAGCCCGCAGAGCUCCUGACACCUCCCUGGAGGUAUGAGAAAGCUGAGGCUCUGAGGGGGAUAAACUGAUUACUGGAAGGUAACGACCUUAGUGAAGUGGUGAAGCUACAGGGUAAACCCUAGUUUUAUUUCCUUUUAACUUUCAAGACUUCCUGAUUUCCUCUAUUAUGAUACCUGUGCCUUAGAGUCACCAAUGGGAACUUGAAGGAAAAUAAUGCCUGCUGAGGCCAGAUGCUCAUUUAAUUGCCUGGGGGUGGAGCCUGUUUGGUUCUAAGCCCUCCCUCUGAACUUCUGAAUGGUGAGGACUGCAAAUCAGCUGCCUCCUGCUGGGCCCUGCAGGGUGAAACCUGAUGAAGCCCCAGGAACAUUCAGUGAGGGGUUAGGAGGGAGGAGAACACGGGUGGAUGAAAAGCAAGAAGGAAAUGCACCAGCAUUCACUGGCAGGCUCUGUCACCCACAGGACAGGGAUAAAGACGUGCACACCUGCAGUGCGGACUUUCACAGCCUGGCAAUGAGGGCUUUCAGCCUCACAGGUGCCCCAAGCGCCAUCUCUGCCGGGAGCUAUGUGGAUGCAUCGGUGACAAAAUGGAAAGCCUCUGGUCCUGGCGGAGCUUGUUCCAAUCAGGAGAGACCCGAAAGCAAGAAACACAGUGAACAAAUGCAUGAUGCCCAGGGGUGGAUGGCCGCAGCACACGCCACCCAUCGCCGUGACCACACUGUCCCUCAGAGGAGCCGCUGGCCACGUGUGUCCCGUCCACAUGGAGAUGUACUUGAAGAUUCUUUACACACUGGGUUUCAAAGACUUAAGUAUGGAAAACAGUGUAAAAUAUUAAUAACACAAUAACUGAUUGUUAUCAAAAUAGUGGGCUGAAUAGAAAAUAUAGUUUGUUUAUUUAUAGAUA
Non-coding RNA from Chlorocebus sabaeus (green monkey), 1469 nucleotides. The record is from RefSeq and is a predicted model, not a curated record. NCBI's taxonomy places the organism in Eukaryota, Metazoa, Chordata, Mammalia, Primates, Cercopithecidae.